GUUCACUCCCAGGUCGUUUUCCCUUUCAGCUGCAAUGCCGGGAUUUUAAAUAGCAGAGAUGAAAGGCCCCUGCCCCCGCCUCCCUCCUCCCCUGAGUUCAUGUAUUAUGAAUGAAACGGCAGCCUCGCUGCUUCCUGAGGUGCUCCACUUCAGGCUGGGGUGCAAUGGCUCGAUCUCGGCUCUCUGCAACCUCUGCUUCCCGGGUUCAAGUGAUUCUCCUGCAUCAGCCUCCCAAGCAGCUGUGAUUACAGGCUGGAGUGCAGUGGUGCUGUGUCUGGAGUUUGUUCCUGCCGGUGGGUUUGUGGUCUUGCUGACUUCAAGAAUGAAGCCACGGACCUUCACGUCCAUCGCCUUGGCUCAGUGCAUGUCACCAAAAAUUCUCCAGGAAUUUCAUAGUUUGGACCUCAGUGGCAUGGCUGGCCCUGGAUUAUCCAUGCAGGGAGGCCUGCUCCUGUGACAGUCAGCUGCAGCAGGGGGCUCCCCAUCUUCUGUGCUUUGUGGUACAUAUCUGUGUGACCAAAGUAGCGGCCCCGGUACAGCAAGCCUUUUGUCUGCUGCUUCUCCUUCUAGCAGUUGUUCCAGAGGUUGGCGAUAUAAUCAUCUUCCACAUUUGGUUUGACUGUUUGGAGGCUGGAGCCUGUGUACUCCUCGGAGAAAGUGCCUGCCACAUAGUAGAUGACACUCAGGUGGUCAGUGACUCACCUGUGAUGUGGCCCACAAACAGUCUUGGGCUCAGACUGUAGGGUGGACUGGAGACCAUGAGCUGGCUGAGAGCUGACAUGAGGAUGAGGAUGGGCAUCAGCUGCACAAACACCCCUAACCUGCUGUCACUCUGCUUCUCCCUGCAGCCCUGCCUUUGCUGAUACACACAGAGGCACAUUGGAAAUACAGUAGAAAACGGCUGCCAAUUUAAAACCAGAAGUUAAGAAGAGCAAACUCGAAUGUACAGCAAGAGAGCUUCAGGCUGGACUGGCUUCCAGCAGAAGUGGGACUGGAAACCUUGGAUUCUAUUGUCUCUUCUCUGUGAAGUGGGAAAACAUGUCAGUAUCUGAACUUGAGCUUGGUAAUUACUGCUCAUUUCUCAACCUUUUCCAAGCCACAUAACUCCCCUGAGGCUUAGUUUUCUUAUCUGUGAAUUGAGAGAUGGUAUGUUCUUCAUCACGAAGUUGCUAUAAAGACUGAAUGAGAUAAUGUGUGUGGAAGCACCAAGCAUGGUCCUUGGCAUACAGUAGGUGCUCAAUAAAUAUGAACUGGAGUACACAUGCA
RNAcentral lists this long non-coding RNA (1266 nucleotides) under Pongo abelii (Sumatran orangutan). RNAcentral describes it as "lincRNA". The record is from RNAcentral. Lineage: Eukaryota; Metazoa; Chordata; Mammalia; Primates; Hominidae.